AUGGAUUUUGGGAUGGAUUUUGGGAUGGAUUUUGGGAUGGAUUUUGGGAUGGAUUUUGGGAUGGAUUUUGGGAUGGAUCCCGGGGGGAUUUUGGGAUGGAUUUUGGGAUGGAUUUUGGGAUGGAUUUUGGGAUGGAUUUUGGGAUGGAUUUUGGGAUGGAUUUUGGGAUGGAUCCCGGGGGGAUUUUGGGAUGGAUUUUGGGAUGGAUUUUGGGAUGGAUUUUGGGAUGGAUUUUGGGAUGGAUUUUGGGAUGGAUUUUGGGAUGGAUCCCGGGGGGAUUUUGGGAUGGAUUUUGGGAUGGAUUUUGGGAUGGAUUUUGGGAUGGAUUUUGGGAUGGAUUUUGGGAUGGAUUUUGGGAUGGAUCCCGGGGGGAUUUUGGGAUGGAUUUUGGGAUGGAUUUUGGGUGGGUCCCGGGGUGGGAGGGGUCGCACCGGGCAGGGACCCCGGGGUGCUCGGGGCACGGGGAGGUCACAGCCUUGGGGACACCGCCAGGAGCUCGGUGACAGCUCGGGGGACAUUCCCAAGAGCUGUGGCCGCUCAGGUGACAUUUCCAGGAGCCUGGUGGCCGCUCAGGUGACAUUCCCCAGGCCAAUGGCGACUCAGGUGACAUCCCUGGGAGCCUGGUGGCCGCUCAGGUGACACCCCGGGGACCUUGGUGGCCCCUCAGGUGACAUCCCUGGGAGCUUGGUGGCCGCUCAGGGGACAUUCCCCAGACUGGUGGCCACUCAAGGGACAUCGUCAAGGACUCAGUGGCCACUCAGGUGACAUUUCCAGGAGCCUGGUGGCCGCUCAGGUGACAUUCCCCAGGCCAAUGGCGACUCAGGGGACAUCGCUGAGAGCUCGGUGGCCACUCAGGGGACACUCCCCGGGCUGGUGGCAGCCCAGGUGACAUUUCCAGGAGCCUGGUGGCCACUCAGGUGACAUCCCGGGGACCUUGGUGGCCCCUCAGGUGACAUCCCGGGGACCUUGGUGGCCGCUCAGGUGACAUCACCAGGAGCCUGGUGGCGCCUCAGGUGACAUCGCUGGGAGCUUGGUGGCCGCUCAGGUGACAUCCCGGGGAGCUUGGUGGCCGCUCAGGUGACAUUCUCCAGCCCGGUGGCCCCUCAGGUGACACCCCCCCAGCCCAGGGCCACCCUCCAGCUCACCCCAAAAAAGCCCUGGGGGAGCUCUGGGGAGCGGUGUCCCCUGGCGGGGGAGGCGCUGGGGACACUUGGGGACAUUUCUGAGCACAGUGGAGCCCUCCCCAUUUUAGGGGAAAAAUUGGGGGAUUUUGGGGGAGUGCAGGAGGAAGAGGAGCCCUCCCCAUUUUAGGGGAAAUUUUGGGGAUUUUUGGGGGUGUUGGGAUGGGCAGGAGGAAGAGGAUCCCUCCCCAUUUUAGGGGAAAUUUUGGGGAUUUUUGGGGGUGUUGGGAUGGGCAGGAGGAAGAGGAGCCCUCCUCGUUCUGGGGGGAAAUUUUGGGGGGCGCAGGCCCCCCCCCCCCCCCCCCCCCCCCCCCCCCCCCCCCCCCCCCCCCCCCCCCCCCCCCCCCCCCCCCCCCCCCCCCCCCCCCCCCCCCCCCCCCCCCCCCCCCCCCCCCCC
Long non-coding RNA from Ficedula albicollis (Collared flycatcher), 1578 nucleotides. NCBI's taxonomy places the organism in Eukaryota, Metazoa, Chordata, Aves, Passeriformes, Muscicapidae. The record is from Ensembl.